RNAcentral lists this ribosomal RNA (1374 nucleotides) under uncultured bacterium. RNAcentral describes it as "bacterial SSU rRNA". It matches the Rfam family "Bacterial small subunit ribosomal RNA". The record is from RNAcentral.
UAGAGUUUGAUCCUGGCUCAGAACGAACGCUGGCGGGCGUGGAUAAGACAUGCAAGUCGAACGAGAGAAUUGCUAGCUUGCUAAUAAUUCUCUAGUGGCGCACGGGUGGGUAACACGUGAGUAACCUGCCCCCGAGAGCGGGAUAGCCCUGGGAAACUGGGAUUAAUACCGCAUAGUAUCGAAAGAUUAAAGCAGCAAUGCGCUUGGGGAUGGGCUCGCGGCCUAUUAGUUAGUUGGUGAGGUAACGGCUCACCAAGGCGAUGACGGGUAGCCGGUCUGAGAGGAUGUCCGGCCACACUGGAACUGAGACACGGUCCAGACACCUACGGGUGGCAGCAGUCGAGAAUCAUUCACAAUGGGGGAAACCCUGAUGGUGCGACGCCGCGUGGGGGAAUGAAGGUCUUCGGAUUGUAAACCCCUGCCAUGUGGGAGCAAAUUAAAAAGAUAGUACCACAAGAGGAAGAGACGGCUAACUCUGUGCCAGCAGCCGCGGUAAUACAGAGGUCUCAAGCGUUGUUCGGAAUCACUGGGCGUAAAGCGUGCGUAGGCUGUUUCGUAAGUCGUGUGUGAAAGGCGCGGGCUCAACCCGCGGACGGCACAUGAUACUGCGAGACUAGAGUAAUGGAGGGGGAACCGGAAUUCUCGGUGUAGCAGUGAAAUGCGUAGAUAUCGAGAGGAACACUCGUGGCGAAGGCGGGUUCCUGGACAUUAACUGACGCUGAGGCACGAAGGCCAGGGGAGCGAAAGGGAUUAGAUACCCCUGUAGUCCUGGCAGUAAACGGUGCACGCUUGGGUGUGCGGGGAAUUCGACCCCCUGCGUGCCGGAGCUAACGCGUUAAGCGUGCCGCCUGGGGAGUACGGUCGCAAGAUUAAAACUCAAAGAAAUUGACGGGGACCCGCACAAGCGGUGGAGUAUGUGGCUUAAUUCGAUGCAACGCGAAGAACCUUACCUGGGCUUGACAUGUAAUGAACAACAUGUGAAAGCAUGCGACCCUUCGGAGGCGUUACACAGGUGCUGCAUGGCCGUCGUCAGCUCGUGUCGUGAGAUGUUUGGUUAAGUCCAGCAACGAGCGCAACCCCUGUUGCCAGUUACCAGCACGUGAAGGUGGGGACUCUGGCGAGACUGCCCAGAUCAACUGGGAGGAAGGUGGGGACGACGUCAGGUCAGUAUGGCCCUUAUGCCCAGGGCUGCACACGUACUACAAUGCCCAGUACAGAGGGGGCCGAAGCCGCGAGGCGGAGGAAAUCCUAAAAACUGGGCCCAGUUCGGACUGUAGGCUGCAACCCGCCUACACGAAGCCGGAAUCGCUAGUAAUGGCGCAUCAGCUACGGCGCCGUGAAUACGUUCCCGGGUCUUGCACACACCGCCCGUCA